GUAAGGAAUAUUGGACAAUGGACGCAAGUCUGAUCCAGCCAUGCCGCGUGAAGGAUUAAGGUCCUCUGGAUUGUAAACUUCUUUUAUAAGGGACGAAAAAAGGCUUUUCUAAGUCGUCUGACGGUACCUUAUGAAUAAGCACCGGCUAACUCCGUGCCAGCAGCCGCGGUAAUACGGAGGGUGCAAGCGUUAUCCGGAUGCACUGGGUUUAAAGGGUGCGUAGGCGGGCAGGUAAGUCAGUGGUGAAAUCCUAGAGCUUAACUCUAGAACUGCCAUUGAUACUAUCUGUCUUGAAUAUUGUGGAGGUAAGCGGAAUAUGUCAUGUAGCGGUGAAAUGCUUAGAUAUGACAUAGAACACCUAUUGCGAAGGCAGCUUACUACGCAUAUAUUGACGCUGAGGCACGAAAGCGUGGGGAUCAAACAGGAUUAGAUACCCGGGUAGUCC
RNAcentral lists this ribosomal RNA (445 nucleotides) under uncultured bacterium. Its description in RNAcentral is "partial 16S ribosomal RNA". It matches the Rfam family "Bacterial small subunit ribosomal RNA", at positions 354 to 796 of the family's 1533-position model. The record is from RNAcentral.